This is a long non-coding RNA of Mercenaria mercenaria, 1887 nucleotides long. RefSeq lists it as uncharacterized. The record is from RefSeq and is a predicted model, not a curated record. The transcript has 4 exons. NCBI's taxonomy places the organism in Eukaryota, Metazoa, Mollusca, Bivalvia, Venerida, Veneridae.
AUAGACUAUUGCUGUUCAAUAUAGGGAAACUGCUCAAAUGAACUUCUUGAGAGAAUGAUAAAAUUUCAGAAACGUGCAGCUCGCAUUAUUCUUGAUCAAGAGGCAGAUGCACCAUCUGACCCUCUUUUCAAAGAAUUAAAAUGGAUAAAAUUUAACGACAGAGUUGAGUACAAAAAAGCUAUUUUAAUUUACAAAUCGUUAAAUGAAGAAAACUCGCCAUGCUACAUGAAAGAAAAAUUUCAAUUUGCUUCAACUUUACAUAACCGAAAUCUCAGAUCAACAAAUAAUCUUAAUCUACAUAUUCCUAAGCCUAAUCUUGAGUUUUAUCGAAAAUCACUUUCUUAUUCUGGAACUAAAAUUUGGAAUAAUAUACCUCUCUUUGUACGCCAAUCUAAAAAUACUGAAAAUUUCAAAAAAGCUUAAAAGUGGAAGUACUCUGGCUAACUUUCCUUCAAUCAAAAUUAUUAUUCCAUGCUUAUAUGUGACGUCGUCUUUGAAAACCGGUCCAGAUGCGGCAUGACGUAAUAUCGAGAAACGAUGUCUAAAGUUGCGCCAAGUUUACGCGCGCAGCUUUCUUACACAUGUUUUAAUUAGCAAAAGUUUGACCGUUAAAGUACGACUGCUUGUUACAUGACUGAUAACAGCCUACUACAGAAAGAAUAUUUAGACAUCAGACCUGUAAAUAAAUAGUGGUAUUACGCCUGAGACAAAAUACUUCGUUCAAAAUCAGUUGUUUCCUCUUCGCUACUGUAUGUUUCCGGUUUCGGAUUUUAUCAGGGAAGCAUGUGAAGUGUACUUUUGUUUAACUACCUUUUGUUCAACGAUGAAGAGAUCUGAGACUUGUAAUACUGUUUACUGAUUUGAUAAUAUUUCUUGUUCCUUUGAUGGUUCAUUCCACUACAGCUGGUUCAUAUACCCUACAACAGCCAGGAAAUUGGUCUGUUUACUUUAAGAUCAGAAGAAAAUGUAACAUAUUUUGGAUGUGCUUUGAGGAAUCAGGAAGGCAAGUGUUUCCUCUUGUUUAUGAAAGAAACUCAGUUGGUUAAGGGGCAGACAACUUGUGAGCAUGGUACAUCACUACCUGUAUUGGUAUUCCAUUUUGACAAUGCUACUAGCUAGAAUAAAAAUAACAUCUUGCUGUGGUAUGGUCUGUGGAGAGUUUUACUAGGAUAUCACAGAUCGAUUGAAUAUUCAACAAUGAUCACAGACCAUGCAAAGUUUGAAUCUGACUUGCACUUUUGAAUUUAGAAGAAUCUGUGGAGGAGGGUGAAUGCUGAGACCUUUAAUAAUACAUGAUAUUGCUGACACAGUGUGUCAGUCAUCAAAGAAAGGUCAUAACAUUGCACAGUUGGUCAACAAUGAUUUAAAUCCUGUCACAUUCUACCAGUGGAGAAAUAUCUUAUCACAAUAUUUUAAACUUCUGAAGAAGAUAACUAAGUAUUACCACUUUACCAUGUCUGCAGAAACACCUGGAUUGUUAGUGUUAAAAGUGACAGUCCAGUUGAGACAGUUAACUUACUAAAAUAUACACCCCCUUGCCAAACGAAUAUUACUGACAUGGAAUGACACAAGCCUGACAAUGGUACCUGUAUGAACUCCUAAGAGAAUAGUAUUUGUCUGAAAAGUCAAAGGAUUCUGUUUGUCCCAGACCACUUGAACUGAAAACUGAAAUUGUGAUUGACGAGGAUUUUUCUGAGAACUGAAAAAAGGAAGUGAAUAUAAAAGAUAGAAAUUGUUCUUGAAUUCAAACGUUUUAAUACACAACACUUUAGCCUGUUUUGCUGUUCAUAUAGAUGUGUUUAGCUGUUAAGGUUAAACAUCAAGUAAAGGUUGUAGUUUCAGUUACCUACAUUAAAGUAUUGGCUGGAAAUAAAUAUUUACUUUUCA